CCUACGGGAGGCAGCAGUGAGGAAUAUUGGACAAUGGGCGAGAGCCGGAACCAGCCAAGUCGCGGGAAGGAUGAAGGAUCUAUGGGUUGUAAACUUCUUUUAUAGGGGAAUAAAGUGAGGUACGUGUUCCUUUUUGUAUGUACCAUAUGAAUAAGCAUCGGCUAACUCCGUGCCAGCAGCCGCGGUAAUACGGAGGAUGCGAGCGUUAUCCGGAUUUAUUGGGUUUAAAGGGUGCGUAGGUGGUUAGUUAAGUCAGCUGUGAAAGUUUGUGGCUCAACCAUAAAAUUGCCGUUGAAACUGGUUGGCUUGAGUAUAUUUGAGGUAGGCGGAAUGCGUGGUGUAGCGGUGAAAUGCAUAGAUAUCACGCAGAACUCCGAUUGCGAAGGCAGCUUACUAGACUGUAACUGACACUGAGGCACGAAAGCGUGGGGAUCAAACAGGAUUAGAUACCCUUGUAGUC
Molecule: ribosomal RNA, 460 nt
Filed under: uncultured bacterium
Lineage: Bacteria
Description: partial 16S ribosomal RNA
Rfam family: Bacterial small subunit ribosomal RNA
Source: RNAcentral